UAGGGGGCGAGCGUUAUCCGGAUUCUUUGGGCGUAAAGCGCGCGUAGGCGGCCCGGCAGGCCGGGGGUAGAAGCGGGGGGCUCAACCCCCCGAAGCCCCCGGAACCUCCGCGGUCUUGGGUCGCGGUAGGGGAGGGUGGAACACCCGGUGUAGCGGUGGAAUGCGCAGAUUAGGAUGGAACACCGGUGGCGAAGGCGGCCCUCUGGGCCGAGACCGACGCUGAGGCGCGAAAGCUGGGGGAGGGAACAGGAAUUGAUUACCUGGUAGUUCCCAGCCGUAAACGAUGGACGGUUAGGUGUGGGGGGACGAUCCCCCCGUGCCGCAGCCAACGCAUUAAGCGUCCCGCCUGGGGAGUACGGCCGCAAGGCUAAAAAUCAAAGGAAUUGACGGGGGCCCGCACAAGCAGCGGAGCAUGAGGCUUAAUUUGAAGCAACGCGAAGAACCUUACCAGGGCUUGACAUAUGGGUGAAGCGGGGGAGACCCCGUGGCCGAGAGGAGCCCAUACAGGUGGUGCAUGGCUGUCGUCAGCUCGUGUCGUGAGAUGUUGGGUUAAGUCCCGCAACGAGCGCAACCCCCGCCGCGUGUUGCCAUCGGGUGAUGCCGGGAACCCACGCGGGACCGCCGCCGUCAAGGCGGAGGAGGGCGGGGGCGACGUCAAGUCAUCAUGCCCCUUAUGCCCUGGGCUGCACACGUGCUACAAUGGCCGGUACAGAGGGAUGCCACCCCGCGAGGGGGAGCGGAUCCCGGAAAGCCGGCCCCAGUUCGGAUUGGGGGCUGCAACCCGCCCCCACGAAGUCGGAGUUGCUAGUAAUCGCGGAUCAGCAUGCCGCGGUGAAAAAGGGCCCGGGCCUUGUACU
This 857-nucleotide ribosomal RNA is filed under the name uncultured bacterium. RNAcentral's name for it is "partial 16S ribosomal RNA". It matches the Rfam family "Bacterial small subunit ribosomal RNA", at positions 528 to 1387 of the family's 1533-position model. The record is from RNAcentral.